This 72-nucleotide transfer RNA is filed under the name Candidatus Sungbacteria bacterium RIFCSPLOWO2_01_FULL_60_25. RNAcentral describes it as "tRNA-Val". It matches the Rfam family "tRNA". From Rfam's summary of the family: Transfer RNA (tRNA) molecules are approximately 80 nucleotides in length. Their secondary structure includes four short double-helical elements and three loops (D, anti-codon, and T loops). Lineage: Bacteria; Candidatus Sungiibacteriota. The record is from RNAcentral.
GGGCGACUAGCUCAGUGGUAGAGCGCAACAUUGACAUUGUUGAGGCCGCAGGUUCGAUCCCUGCGUCGCCCA